GGGAGUACGGAGGCGUCGGGAUCAGGUGGCGGCGAUUCGGGUCUCGAUGGGACUGGUUUCCUUUAGUGAGGCAAUCUCUCGGCUUGGUGGUGUUUUCGUGGUGCCUUUUAUUUUGUUGGGGUGUACGGCCUUUACCGGUUGGUUGCCUUGAUGAGUGAGAGGUACGGCGGGAUAUCUCUUUGGUCGGGAAUGUCUCGCGGGGGCUGGCUCUGUUGUUAUUCGGUCGUCGUCAUCCCCGGCGAUACCUUCUGCUCUCGCGUCCGUCACGCAGUCUUCUUAGAGGGACAAGCGGCGUCCAGCCGCGUGACAGUGAGCAAUAACAGGUCUGUGAUGCCCUUAGAUGUCCUGGGCCGCACGCGCGCUACACUGAAGGAAUCAGCGUGUUUCACUCUCCCUGUCCGAAAGGACCGGGUAACCGCUGAACCUCCUUCGUGGUUGGGAUUGGGGACUGC
RNAcentral lists this ribosomal RNA (452 nucleotides) under Daphnia pileata. RNAcentral describes it as "partial 18S ribosomal RNA". It matches the Rfam family "Eukaryotic small subunit ribosomal RNA", at positions 1361 to 1587 of the family's 1831-position model. The record is from RNAcentral. Lineage: Eukaryota; Metazoa; Arthropoda; Branchiopoda; Diplostraca; Daphniidae.